GGGCCUAUCGGUCCCCUGGGUGGACGGCGCUGAGGUGACAGGUCAGCUGUCACUGCACCGGCGGGCCUGCCCUGUGAGCUCCUGCGACAGGUGGCAUCACCUGAGCGCACUGUUUCCUCUCUGACAGACUCCAUGACAGUUCAGAAGGUGAAAGGGCUGCUGUCCCGUCUCCUCUAGGUCCCUGUGUCUGACCUGCUGCUGGCCUACGAAAGCCCCAAGAUGUGGCAGAGAGAUUGAGCUGGAGAACGACCAGCAGUCCUUACAGUUCUACUCUGUGGAAAGCGGAGACUGUCUGCUACUGCGAUGGUGACACAGCUGAUACAGCUCAGAGAUGGACUGCAGAUCCAUCUGCAAGAAAUGACCUACGGGAGCAGUUCUCUCCAAGGCUGUCUGUCCUCUUCUGUAGGAAAAAGACUGUUUCUAGGCUUGUACAUAAUAGCGACAAUAAAGGCUUUGUGCCUACUAACGAUUUUCUGAUUCUA
Molecule: long non-coding RNA, 482 nt
Organism: Pipistrellus kuhlii (Kuhl's pipistrelle)
Lineage: Eukaryota; Metazoa; Chordata; Mammalia; Chiroptera; Vespertilionidae
Exons: 2
Source: RefSeq, a predicted model, not a curated record